UACGGAGGGUGCGAGCGUUAAUCGGAAUUACUGGGCGUAAAGCGUGCGUAGGCGGCCCGUUAAGUCAGAUGUGAAAGCCCUGGGCUCAACCUGGGAACGGCAUUUGAAACUGGCGGGCUAGAGUUUGGUAGAGGGGAGUGGAAUUUCAGGUGUAGCGGUGAAAUGCGUAGAUAUCUGAAGGAACACCAGUGGCGAAGGCGACUCCCUGGACUAGAACUGACGCUGAGGUACGAAAGCGUGGGUAGCAAACAGG
Molecule: ribosomal RNA, 253 nt
Filed under: uncultured Methylococcaceae bacterium
Lineage: Bacteria; Pseudomonadati; Pseudomonadota; Gammaproteobacteria; Methylococcales; Methylococcaceae
Description: partial 16S ribosomal RNA
Rfam family: Bacterial small subunit ribosomal RNA
Source: RNAcentral